AAUUACACCGCCCAGAUCUCCCUUAGAAGGCCACUUGGUCCUGUGCCAAAUUUGGGUAAUAAAAAGAGUCUGCACGUUCUCUGAAAACACAGCUGAAGCUCUUCAGGCAAGGACUAACACACGAAGGAGCCAAGGGUACAGACAAAAACAAAGGACGAAGCUACCACUCACUCUCUGCAGGAAGCCACGGUAUCGGACAAGCCUUCACAGGCAUCACUUCGCAGAAGCUUGAAAACUGACCAAAAUGAAGUAUUCAACCAACAAAGUUCCCUCAGCAAAGCCGAAUAGCACAUUAAGCAACACCUCAGUCAAGCCUGCCAAGCCAAAAAAGGUCCAACGGAAGACUAUGGAAGUCUCCGCUACGUACUGCAUGAGUCUGCGCUCUGGCAAUACCAUAAAAAAGAGCUGCUACUACUACAGGAGUUACAGCACCAGAACACGGCCAGAAAAAACAGGUGGGAAGCUCAAAGAUCCUUGCUGUACGAAAACUGAGCAAAUAGAAUCUCAUGAAC
This is a long non-coding RNA of Ochotona princeps (American pika), 512 nucleotides long. RefSeq lists it as uncharacterized. Lineage: Eukaryota; Metazoa; Chordata; Mammalia; Lagomorpha; Ochotonidae. The record is from RefSeq and is a predicted model, not a curated record. The transcript has 6 exons.